This 302-nucleotide ribosomal RNA is filed under the name uncultured bacterium. RNAcentral describes it as "partial 16S ribosomal RNA". It matches the Rfam family "Bacterial small subunit ribosomal RNA", at positions 508 to 807 of the family's 1533-position model. The record is from RNAcentral.
GCAGCCGCCACGGGAAUACGGAGGGUGCAAGCGUUAUCCGGAUUUAUUGGGUUUAAAGGGUCCGUAGGCGGAUCUGUAAGUCAGUGGUGAAAUCUCACAGCUUAACUGUGAAACUGCCAUUGAUACUGCAGGUCUUGAGUAAAUUUGAAGUGGCUGGAAUAAGUAGUGUAGCGGUGAAAUGCAUAGAUAUUACUUAGAACACCAAUUGCGAAGGCAGGUCACUAAGAUUUAACUGACGCUGAUGGACGAAAGCGUGGGGAGCGAACAGGAUUAGAUACCCCUGUAGUCCCUGUCUCUUAUAC